Molecule: non-coding RNA, 613 nt
Organism: Pimephales promelas (fathead minnow)
Lineage: Eukaryota; Metazoa; Chordata; Actinopteri; Cypriniformes; Leuciscidae
Source: RefSeq, a predicted model, not a curated record
GAAGGAUCCGCGUCAUCUUACUGUCCCGGUACGGCACAUGAGUCUUCUGCACCGACAGAGAGAGUUUAAAUGGGUUAAAGGUAUUGGUGUAAUAUGCAGAUGAUGUGUGACUCACGGUGCCUUCGGCCAGAGCCGAGAUGACGUUUCCCAGCGCCGACAGAGACUUGUUGAUGUUCUUGGCUUCAUCCAGGACCGAUCCCUCCGCUCCCGUCUUACUCACCUGGACAAAUAACGCGAGACUUCAAAUGUUUGGGGAGGACGGUUUGAGACAUUAAUGAGAUAUAUUUCCUGUCAUGAGGCUGAAGGACAUCAUAUUUCCAUCACCUUCUCGCUGCCGGCCAGGUCCACCAGGUAUUUUCCCAGAAUGCUCAGUGACUCAGCGUGUCAGACACAGAUGAGCAGUUGUUCAUCAGCCUGAUGAUGUCCUCAUUCAGCAGAUGUGAACACAGACGCUCUUAUCUGAGGCUCAAACGCACACAUCUGUGUGUCGCUGGUGUUCGACUGUUCAGGAUUGAUCGUUUUACGGGGUUUUCAGCUAAAUAUAUACUAGCGUCCGUGAGAUUUCGUAAUGUGUUUGAAAGAGUCUCCUCUGCUCACCAAGGCUGCUUUUAUG